AUGCAGUUCACGGCUACAGAUGCUGUCCUCGUAAUACUUAAUCUGGUGAACGAGUGGGUGGUCCGGGCGCUGGUCCUUUUGAGCCUGGUGACGCAUCUUGUGCUGGUCCUCCUCGCCGGGGUCCGCCGGCGUAGAGCCACGGGUGUGCGCACAGCCGUCCUGUGGUUUUCUUACCAGGUGGCCGGCUGGGCGGCGACACGCUCCAUCAGCCACCUCAUGCUGGGCAUCGUCACGUCCAGCCAGCAGCACCUGCACGCCUUCUGGACUCCCUUCCUCCUCGUGCACCUCGCCUUGCCGGACAACAUCAGCGCCUACUCCGUUGAAGACAACGCAUUAUCAGGCCGGGAAUUGGCGGUCGCCCCCGCGCAGGUCGCCGGAGCCAUCCUCGCCCUGUGCAAGCACUUCGUCAUCGUCCAUGACGCCGGGACCUUGCGGCCGGCGGCCUACCUCAUGUUCCCCCUGGGCAUUGCCAAGUACAUAGAGAGUGUACGGGCGCGGCGGCAAGGCAAUCUGGGCACCAUCCGGCGGUCAAUCAAGAAGAUGAAGCCCGAGGAGCUGAGCGAUGCAGAGCGUGAAGGCCAAGGCUUCAACAACGAGCAAGCCUUGCUGGUUGCCCAUGGCCUUCUGUACGUCACCAAGGGUGCCUUUGCGGACUGUUACUUCAGCUUGAAGCCUGAAGCCGCCAGAAAAGUAAGAGCCUUCUCCCGGUGUCAAGGUUGGGAGGACAUGUGCAAGGUGGUGGAGAUGGAGCUGUCCCUCAUCAAAGACAGCCAGAGCAGUGCAGAUGUCAUCGUCACCUACUCCUUGCUCAUUGUGACACUCGUCCUUGAUGUCGGGUGGCUACUUAGAUCACUGGGAUCCACAUGGACAUGUGCAUUCCUCAAGCAUAGGCCGUAUUCGAUUCUUCGGUGUUCGCAUCGGCUGAUCCGCAGCUUGGGCUUCAUGGCGGACAAGUAUCAUCUAACUAGCUACAGGAUGUGGUCGGCCACGGGCACCAUUGGGCAGUACAACCUGCUGAGCGAGAGCUGUCGCGGAAGAAGGGGUGGCACCACCAUGAGCAUAUCUAGCAGGCUAGUGAAGAUGGUUGCAAAGGAAGACAAUUGGAUGGAAUACCAUUACGGAUAUGGACAGUUCUUACCAUGUGUCAGGGACUUGUUGUUCCAAGGGAUAUGGACAAUUCUCAAGAAAGCCUUCCCACCACCACAAGAAAUAUUAGCUGACAAGGUGACCGGCAAGGUGUCCGCUUAUCCAUCCGGUGACAGUCCUCCACUUCCACCGCCUGUUGAGGCUCGUAAGGCGUUCGUCAAUCCAGAGGCGGGCCAAGCGAGACAGUCGGAAUUAGGCGACGCUCUUGAUAUCGGCCCUGAGUUCCAAGAGGUAGUCCUCAGGUGGCACAUCGCAACCGACAUCUUCCUCUUGUGCAGGCAAAGCUCAACAGCAUCCGGCAGCUGCAACUCCUACAAAUAUGUCAAGGCCAUACAAGGGCUAUCAAAUUAUAUGAUUCCAAGAGAUGAGAUGGAGUUUGCAGAAAUCCUUAAAGCCAUGAAACCGAUAGAAGGCUCUACGCCACUUAUUCUAUCGGAGGGAAGGCUCUAUGCCAAGUUAAUGCUCAGUCGGGUGAACCCCAAUGAGAUGGAUCCGGAUGACAAGACGGAUAUUACGAAGGCCCUUGAUCUACUUAAGAAUUUAAUGCCCGACUUGUGGUGGUUGGAGAAGGACACAGUGGGAGAUUGGUCGCUGCCGAUGGAUAACAUGUUGAAACAAAUCUUGGGUGGAUGGGUGCGUUUGCUCCUACAUGCGUCCACACGGUGCAGCCGUGGUUCCCAUGCCAAGCAGCUUGGCCGUGGCGGAGACCUCACCACUGUUGUGUGGAUGCUCGCUGAACACGCCGGCCUAUUUCGCAUCCCGCCAGACAACUAA
RNAcentral lists this ribosomal RNA (1920 nucleotides) under Triticum aestivum (bread wheat). RNAcentral describes it as "partial small subunit ribosomal RNA". Lineage: Eukaryota; Viridiplantae; Streptophyta; Magnoliopsida; Poales; Poaceae. The record is from RNAcentral.